GGACAAUGAACUUAGAUCAUUUUGACCUCAAAUCAGGUAGGACUACCCGCUGAAACCCUUAAGCAUAUCAA
This 71-nucleotide ribosomal RNA is filed under the name Moniliophthora perniciosa. RNAcentral describes it as "partial 28S ribosomal RNA". Lineage: Eukaryota; Fungi; Basidiomycota; Agaricomycetes; Agaricales; Marasmiaceae. The record is from RNAcentral.